CUGAUGCCAACGCUCCCCCCAGGGGACCCUCGCCGCGGGCAGAAGCCUGCACCCCUUCGGCUGAUGCUUGGGUCCUUCAACCUCUGCCCUCCCAGCAACUAGCCACCAAUGGGGGUCCCGGACUUCUCAGGAGCCGAGACUCGCAUCUUUUGGGUAUCUCUCAGCUGGGACCCCAGCCGUCCAAGCUCUCCGGCGGAGCCCCACCUCCUUCGCUGCUACGGACCACGGCCAGCCCGAGUCCAUCGGACUCCCCAGACCUCUGCCUCCUUGUGCAAGGGGCUGGUAGGAUCGGCUGGACAGCACGAGUCUAGGACUGUGAACCCCUCUAGGACACCAGGCUUUGGGUACUGGGACGCUUAAGGCUGUGCUGGACCGAUAGUCGGGGUCCGGCCAGUGGCCCAGGGAGAGGAAAGGGCUCCGGGCGUGGCCUUAGCAGACCACCAGGCCAAACUGCCUGGGGCGAGGCCGUGGAGCCCGGGGACUGGCGCCAGAGUCGGCUGAAGGGAGACUCCCGGGGCAUUGGCCUUAUGUAUAUUUUUUUCCUCCUAGGGGUCCCCUUCGGGGAGAGGGAAGCGAUGUUUUGAGCACUUUGUUCCUAAAGUCACCUGGAGUUUUUUCUUCACAACACCUCCAUUCUAGCAAGGCAGUGAGCUCGGAGGCGGGCACACAAAUCUAGGUCCCUCCCUGGGUAUAAGACCUGAGACCUUAGCUCAGAAAGAGGCUUUCGAGUCAGAUUUUAGGGCAAUGUAGACAGGUGCGAGGGAUUGGUCGAGCUCUACGCCCUCCAUCUAGCCCCUCGGUCUUUGCAGAGCCCUAGACCUCCAGGGAAUAAUCCCAGAGGGGUCCCAGGUGGGUCCCGAGCAGAGGGAUGGCUGGGGUCCCUGCCGCCCCCGAGGAUGGGGGAGGGGCGGCAGGAUUGACAGUCCGUAAUUGGGUAACUGGAGGCGGCUUCUCCGGCCCAGCGGCCCCGCCACCGCGACGCCGGGCCCCUGACGUCACCCGAUUCGCCAGGAAAUGAACUUUUUAAUAAUCCAAGGAGGGAGGAAAGCCCUCGGUCCCCUCGGCUCGGGGGGCGCCCAGCCCGGCUCUGCUCCCCGGGGGCGCCCCAUCACCCCCCUCCCACGUCCUCUGCGGACAGCUCUGAGGGGGCGCGCGCACCGCAGGGCCUCCUCCGGUCUCUGCGGCUGGGGUCCAUCUGACUGUCUGAGGCUUUGGAACAGGUAAAGGCCCUGGGCCCGGGGUGCAGAACUGCACUGGGACGGAAACCCGCAUCUUUCGCGCCCUGGGGGGUCCCUGCUGUUCACCGUGUUCCCUGCGCUUCAGCUCUCCAGAUCCAGCAGGGGCCCAGGCGGCUGGGGAGUCUGCUGCCAGCCUAGGCGGGAGGUCGUACGUACGAGAGCGCGGGGGGCUGCAGGGGCUCAAGGCCGCAGUGCCUCGGGGCCGGCUGGGCAGGUGGGUGGUCUCUGUGCCACCAAGCUCGCGCUCCCACCUAGGACCCGCUCCCUCUCGGGACGGCUUUCUCGGCUUCUCCCCGCCUUUAGACCGCGAUUCUUCAUUAACGCGCAAAGCGAGAUAGUCAUGGAGUUCCAGAGUGUUCGAUGUUCCUGGAACCUAGCAGGAGCAUCUAAAGGCCUCGCAGCCUCGGCGAUAACACUACUCUCGGCAACGGUGCCCCAUGCGGCCGAAUCCCAGGCCUCUGUUCUGCAGACUUCCAGGAGAUCGCGGAGCACAGAGGAAGCUGCCCUGGCCGUCGGCGCCUAGGCUGGCAGGGCGGGGGUGGGGGGAGCUCCCAACACCACCCGCGAAAGCAGGAGCAGCCGCCACACAGGAGGCCCUUCUGAACACAAGACCUUUCCCCUCACCGCUGGGAUUAUCGCAGCCCUUUCAGAGCGCGCACAACAAAUGCGCCCGCCAUCGAAUGCAGCAUUUACCACCGCAGAUCCGCGCGCCGAUGGGCAGGCAGAUAGCGUCCGCGGGGGGCUCGCCGGGCGGCGAGUGUGCGCCCCGGCUCUGCCCGGUGUGUUUGGAGGAACACGUGGGUAUGCCAGCGAGUGGACCCUCAGCAAGCAAGAAUGUGAGUGUGCGAGUAAGUGUGCCUCGACAAAGUGCACGUGUGCGAGCCCCUGAGCACACGCGUGGUGAGUGUUCGUGGCGAGUGCCAGGAUGUGGCCGCCGAGACGCACGCGGUAAGCGGUGCUGCACGUGACCGCGCGGGGAAGCAUGCAAUGGGUGUGCUGGCCGCGUGCACGAGCGAAUUCACUGUGAGGGCCUACAGGUACCUGGCCCCGGAGGAUGCUGUUAGUGGUGCGGAACAGAGGGGUUUUCAGCCACUCAGGAAUGUUAUGUGUAUCACGUGCAGGCCUCACUCCACACGGGGUGGACGCAGUAGCCGGCGUUUGAGCCAGUGGCACAGGCUUUUGGAACCCGCACGGAUCUGUGGGGCAGUGUGCACCCAGGACUACCGCGUGUGCCCAGAGAUGCGCGAAAGGAAGGUCCGGUUUCGGGCCUUGCUCGAGCCUCUGUUGUGCAGACUCGGGGUUGGACAUUGGCUGUGAGGAAGAGACCGACCGCUGUG
Cricetulus griseus (Chinese hamster) is the source of this 2575-nucleotide non-coding RNA. The record is from RefSeq and is a predicted model, not a curated record. NCBI's taxonomy places the organism in Eukaryota, Metazoa, Chordata, Mammalia, Rodentia, Cricetidae.